RNAcentral lists this long non-coding RNA (664 nucleotides) under Struthio camelus australis. RNAcentral describes it as "lncRNA (ENSSCUG00000018712.1)". Lineage: Eukaryota; Metazoa; Chordata; Aves; Struthioniformes; Struthionidae. The record is from RNAcentral.
GGAAAACUGGGAAACUCCACCUGCCAGCAGUGAAAGAUAAUAUCAUGUUCAAGGAAAGAUAUUAGGAUUUGGGAGAUUUAGGUUAUAUUUUUCUAAUUAACAGCACCCUUAAGCAAGUCUUUGGGACAAAAAUGUCUCUUAAGUGUAUGGCAAGGGAAGGGAACACUCUGCCGUGAUUAUAUCUUUAUUGCAGGACAGUAAUGGCACCUGCUGAAUGCAUAGAAACAUGACAAAUGUGAAUAAGAAAUGAUGCUGUAAUAAGAAGGGAUCACAGAGUAAAAGAAGAAAUGUCACCAUCUUCAUUCCAUUUAAAAGGCCACCUGAACACUAUUUUUGGGGACUGAUCCAUGAGUUGUGAGACUUGCUCCUGCACAGACCAGGAACAAGAUGGAGCACAGCAAUGCUGCUGCACAUUAACCUGCCACCGAAUCCUUGAGGAGGGUUUGCAGCCUCUCUCGGGACUGCAUCUGACAAUAGAGUGACUGCAUCUGACAAAAAGAGUGACAGAAGUUCUUGAUGAGAAAGGAGGAACUUCCUGACACAUUCAAAUCUCCAUCCUAUGCCCUGCUAAUGUUUUGCUGCUGUACAUUUAAAUCAGUGUGAUAUGGCUCCUUGGAACCAAUUCUUUGAGUGUCACUUUUGUGCUGAAGAAAAUCACCUCUCC